This 201-nucleotide unclassified non-coding RNA is filed under the name Hevea brasiliensis (rubber tree). Lineage: Eukaryota; Viridiplantae; Streptophyta; Magnoliopsida; Malpighiales; Euphorbiaceae. The record is from RNAcentral.
GUUCUGUAUGCCAUUCAAGAAUAGCCUCAUCGACAAAUCGCCACCUAUAGAAUCAAUUGCCCGGAGUAUAUUUUGGGAUGGUUCUUGUUCAGUUUCAUCUGCUCCUUGUGCGCUCAAAUCUUCACCAGUUUCCACUUGCCUGGAGGAAGAACAAAACUGGCACUGCCUUGUCGAAGCCCUUCUUACAAUGUCUGGUCUCGG